RNAcentral lists this ribosomal RNA (428 nucleotides) under uncultured Clostridium sp. RNAcentral describes it as "bacterial SSU rRNA". It matches the Rfam family "Bacterial small subunit ribosomal RNA", at positions 354 to 794 of the family's 1533-position model. Lineage: Bacteria; Bacillati; Bacillota; Clostridia; Eubacteriales; Clostridiaceae. The record is from RNAcentral.
UGGGGGAAUAUUGCGGCAAUGGGGGGAAACCCUGACGCAGCAACGCCGCGUGAUCGAAGAAGGUCUUCGGAUUGUAAAGAUCUUUUAUCAGGGACGAAGAAAGUGACGGUACCUGAUGAAUAAGCUCCGGCUAACUACGUGCCAGCAGCCGCGGUAAUACGUAGGUGGCGAGCGUUAUCCGGAUUUACUGGGUGUAAAGGGCGCGUAGGCGGGAAUGCAAGUCAGAUGUGAAAUCCAAGGGCUCAACCCUUGAACUGCAUUUGAAACUGUAUUUCUUGAGUGUCGGAGAGGUUGACGGAAUUCCUAGUGUAGCGGUGAAAUGCGUAGAUAUUAGGAGGAACACCAGUGGCGAAGGCGGUCAACUGGACGAUAACUGACGCUGAGGCGCGAAAGCGUGGGGAGCAAACAGGAUUAGAUACCCUGGUAGU